Molecule: ribosomal RNA, 944 nt
Filed under: Myctolaimus sp. RSA134
Lineage: Eukaryota; Metazoa; Nematoda; Chromadorea; Rhabditida; Cylindrocorporidae
Description: eukaryotic LSU rRNA
Rfam family: Eukaryotic large subunit ribosomal RNA
Source: RNAcentral
AGAGUUGACGUAGCUGGCUGUAGUCAGUGGAAGGUGCUGCUUUGUGGCGGUCUGCUCUGCUCGGGAUUUCCGAGGCGGCCGUUGCAGUGAUUCGCUGGUAUCUUACACGCAUUUACAGUUGGCAGUGCCGAUUGUUUCGGUUGCUCCUUCUGAACAGCUAUAGUGGAACCCACAUCUGUGGUGCUUCGCUUAGUUGGGAGGUCGGUAGUGGCUGAAACUACUAGCUGUGCCUUUGCGAAUAGUGUGCAUCCUACGUGAGAGGGAACAUACCGCAUGCGGUAGUGAACUCUUGCGCGUGGAUGUUGCUACUCAUUCGUUCGGCUGUCUAUCGGCGUGAAAGUUGACCACCUAUCCGACCCGUCUUGAAACACGGACCAAGAAGUCUAGUAUAUGCGCGAGUCAUUGGGUGUUAAACCUAUUGGCGAAAUGAAAGUAAAGGCUAGCUUGCUGGCUGAUAUGUGAUCCGCUGUGAACAACGGUGGCGCAACAUAGCCCCAUGCCAGCUGCUUGCAGCGGUGUGGAGGUAGAGCGUAUAUACUGGGACCCGAAAGAUGGUGAACUAUGCCUGAGCAGGACGAAGCCAGAGGAAACUCUGGUGGAGGUCCGAAGCGAUUCUGACGUGCAAAUCGAUCGUCUGACUUGGGUAUAGGGGCGAAAGACUAAUCGAACCAUCUAGUAGCUGGUUCCCUCCGAAGUUUCCCCCAGGAUAGCUGGAGCAUAUAUACUGUUAUAUCCGGUAAAGCGAAUGAUUAGAGGCCUUGGGGACGAAAUGUUCUCAACCUAUUCUCAAACUUUCAAUGGGUACGAUGUUGCGGUUGCUUAAUUGAACCGUGACUGGGAAAGAGUGCUCCAAGUGGGCCAUUUUUGGUAAGCAGAACUGGCGAUGCGGGAUGAACCGAACGUUGAGUUAAGGUGCCUAACUCUCCGCUCAUGAGACCCCAUAA